This 495-nucleotide ribosomal RNA is filed under the name uncultured bacterium. RNAcentral describes it as "partial 16S ribosomal RNA". It matches the Rfam family "Bacterial small subunit ribosomal RNA", at positions 28 to 507 of the family's 1533-position model. The record is from RNAcentral.
GACGAACGCUGGCGGCGUGCCUAAUACAUGCAAGUAGAACGCUCAAGCAGGAGCUUUCUUCUCUGGAUGAUUUGCGAACGGGUGAGUAACGCGUAUGUAACCUCCCUGUUAGCGGGGGAUAACUCUUGGAAACGAUAGCUAAUACCGCAUAAGAGUAUAUGUUGCAUGACAUUUGCUUAAAAGGUGCAAUUUCAUUGCUACCAGAUGGACCUGCGUUGUAUUAGCUAGUUGGUGGGGUAACGGCUCAACAAGGCGACGAUGCAUAGGCGACCUGGUGGGGGGAUCGGCCACAACGGGAACGGAGCACGGCCCAGACCCCUAACGGAGGCAGCAGGAGGGGAUCUUCGGCAAUGGACGGAAGGCUGACCGAGGAACGCCGCGGGAGGGGAGAAGGUUCUCGGGUCGGAAAGAUCUGUUGUAAGGGAAGAAAGAGAGUGGGAGUGGAAAGUGCACACUGUGACGGUAUCUUAUCAGAAAGGCACGGCUAACUACGUG